GGGCCCGCACAAGUAGUGGAGCAUGUGGUUUAAUUCGAAGAUACGCGCAGAACCUUACCAACACUUGACAUGUUCGUCGCGACUUUAAGAGAUUAAAGUUUUCGGUUCGGCCGGACGAAACACAGGUGCUGCAUGGCUGUCGUCAGCUCGUGUCGUGAGAUGUUGGGUUAAGUCCCGCAACGAGCGCAACCCUCACUUUUAGUUGCCAUCAUUAAGUUGGGCACUCUGAAAGAACUGCCAGUGAUAAGCUGGAGGAAGGUGGGGAUGACGUCAAGUCCUCAUGGCCCUUACGUGUUGGGCUACACACGUGCUACAAUGGUAUCUACAACAGGAAGCAAAGAGGCGACUCUUAGCCAAUCCCUAAAAUGUACCUCAGUUCGGAUUGUACUCUGUAACUCGAGUGCAUGAAGCUGGAAUUGCUAGUAAUCG
RNAcentral lists this ribosomal RNA (429 nucleotides) under uncultured bacterium. Its description in RNAcentral is "bacterial SSU rRNA". It matches the Rfam family "Bacterial small subunit ribosomal RNA", at positions 917 to 1344 of the family's 1533-position model. The record is from RNAcentral.